AUCUGGGAAACCCUCAUCUUGUCAGAGAGCAGGUCCUCAAAGCAAAGGGAAGCCCGAAGAGCAAGUGUGUGAGCUGGCAAAAGAGCACAUUAGCAGAAAGCGGCCAGAUCUGAGUGGCCCGAGGGACAGCCGCUCGCCGCCGGUUCCUCACCUGUGUAAUGAGGAUUAAAAACCUCAGCCUUUUAGGAUUGUGGUAGCGCUGGAAGAAAUCCUCUAGCAAAGUGUUCAGCCCCAAAGCAGCUAAACGGAAGUGGGGACGCAAAGAGAGGGUGGAGACACUUAGAAGAGCAAUUCUGACUCUGCCUUUGCCCUAUCUCAGCAAAAUUAUUAUAUUUUUUGAAAUUGUAAUUCAGCUAUUGUAUAUUUUUUAAGAGACGGACAGUUUAUUCAUCAAUCCCACCAAUCUGGGACCCCAGGCCAUUUCCCUGCUGGCACUUCAGUCAUCGAACACUAUCUCCGAGCCUGGAAAUGAUCAUUCUCUGGUGAGGAAGUUAGAGCAUUGGGGGAAGAAAGUUAAACAGUGCUCUGGGUUUUUUUUAUACAUUUUUUAAAAAAGAUUUUAUUUUUCCUUUUUCUCCCCAAACCCCCCUGGUACACAGCUCUGUGUUUUUAGUUGUGAGUCCUUCUAGUUGUAGAUACAUUUUUUUUAAAGAUUGGCACCUGAGCUAACAACUGUUGCCAAUCUUCUUUUUUUUUAAUUCUUCUCCCCAAAGCCCCCCGUACAUAGUUGUAUAUUCUAGCUGUGAGCACCUCUGGUUGUACUGUGUGGGACACUGCCUCAGCAUGGCCUGAUGAGUGGUGCUAGGUCUGUGCCCAGGAUCCGAACCAGCGAAGCCCUGGGCCACCGAAGUGGAGUGUGCGAACUUAACGACUCAGCGUGGUCUGAUGAGCAGUGCCAUGUCCGCGCCCAGGAUUCGAACUAACGAAACACUGGGCCGCCUGCUGCGGAGUGCGCGAACUUAACCACUCGGCCACGGGGCCAGCCCCAACAGUGCUCUGUUUUGAACGUAGUUUCUGCAAGGUUCUCUAGGUGAGGAUGAGUGUUCUAAAGAAAAGGAGUUGUUUUUUUUUUUGAGGAAGAUUAGCCCUAAGCUAACUGCUGCC
This 1104-nucleotide long non-coding RNA is filed under the name Equus caballus (horse). RNAcentral's name for it is "lncRNA (ENSECAG00000058115.1)". The record is from RNAcentral. Lineage: Eukaryota; Metazoa; Chordata; Mammalia; Perissodactyla; Equidae.